GGUGAGUAACACGUUGAUAACCUACCUAUAAGACUGGGAUAACUUCGGGAAACCGGAGCUAAUACCGGAUAAUAUAUUGAACCGCAUGGUUCAAUAGUGAAAGACGGUUUUGCUGUCACUUAUAGAUGGAUCCGCGCCGCAUUAGCUAGUUGGUAAUGUAACGGCUUACCAAGGCGACGAUGCGUAGCCGACCUGAGAGGGUGAUCGGCCACACUGGAACUGAGACACGGUCCAG
This 235-nucleotide ribosomal RNA is filed under the name uncultured Staphylococcus sp. RNAcentral describes it as "partial 16S ribosomal RNA". It matches the Rfam family "Bacterial small subunit ribosomal RNA", at positions 105 to 334 of the family's 1533-position model. The record is from RNAcentral. Lineage: Bacteria; Bacillati; Bacillota; Bacilli; Caryophanales; Staphylococcaceae.